This 429-nucleotide ribosomal RNA is filed under the name uncultured bacterium. RNAcentral describes it as "bacterial SSU rRNA". It matches the Rfam family "Bacterial small subunit ribosomal RNA", at positions 355 to 777 of the family's 1533-position model. The record is from RNAcentral.
UAGGGAAUUUUCGUCAAUGGGGGGAACCCUGAACGAGCAAUGCCGCGUGAGUGAAGACGGUUUUCGGACUGUAAAGCUCUGUUGUAAGAGAAAAACGGCCGACAUAGGGAAUGAUGUCGGAGUGAUGGUAUCUUACCAGAAAGUCACGGCUAACUACGUGCCAGCAGCCGCGGUAAUACGUAGGUGGCGAGCGUUAUCCGGAAUGAUUGGGCGUAAAGGGUGCGUAGGCGGUACGGUAAGUCUGUAGUAAAAGGCGGCAGCUCAACUGUCGUAGGCUAUGGAAACUGUCGAACUAGAGUGCAGAAGAGGGCGAUGGAACUCCAUGUGUAGCGGUAAAAUGCGUAGAUAUAUGGAAGAACACCAGUGGCGAAGGCGGUCGCCUGGUCUGUAACUGACGCUGAAGCACGAAAGCGUGGGGAGCAAAUAGGA